Molecule: ribosomal RNA, 617 nt
Filed under: Neodolichomitra yunnanensis
Lineage: Eukaryota; Viridiplantae; Streptophyta; Bryopsida; Hypnales; Hylocomiaceae
Description: bacterial SSU rRNA
Rfam family: Bacterial small subunit ribosomal RNA
Source: RNAcentral
UGAAUCCGGUUGAAAGUGAAAGUCGCCAGCUCAACUGGCGGAAUGCUUUCAAAACCAAUUCACUUGAGUAAGAUAGAGGAUAGUGGAAUUUCGUGUGUAGAGGUAAAAUUCACAGAUAUACGAAGGAACACCAAAAGCGAAGGCAGCUUUCUGGGUCUCUACUGACGCUAAGGUGCGAAAGCAUAGGGAGCAAACAGGAUUAGAUACCCUGGUAGUCUAUGCCGUAAACGAUGAGUGUUCGUCCUUGGUCUGCGCUGUAUGCAAAACGGCUGAUCAGGGGCCCAGCUAACGCGUUAAACACUCCGCCUGGGGAGUACGACGAGCGCAACCCUCGUUUUGUGUUGCUAAGACAUGCGUUUUGGGGUCGAUUCUCGAUCAUUUGAGACUGAUAGAGACCACGCGAAGAAUGUCACGACGCCGUCUGGCUACGAUCACACGGUUGAUUCGACGAGCACAGCUCUCCUAGCGUGGCACACAAAACAAUGUGGCACCCAGUCUUUGGAAACAGAAUUGACAAUCCAUGCCAUGGACUGCACUCACAAGAAACUGCCAGUGAUAUACUGGAGGAAGGUGGGGAUGACGUCAAGUCCGCAUGGCCCUUAUGGGCUGGGCUACAC